This 862-nucleotide ribosomal RNA is filed under the name uncultured bacterium. Its description in RNAcentral is "bacterial SSU rRNA". It matches the Rfam family "Bacterial small subunit ribosomal RNA", at positions 28 to 893 of the family's 1533-position model. The record is from RNAcentral.
GAUGAACGCUAGCGGCAGGCCUAACACAUGCAAGUCGAGGGGUAGUUACUUUCGGGUAAUGAGACCGGCGCACGGGUGCGUAACGCGUAUGCAAUCUACCUUUUACAGGGGAAUAGCCCAGAGAAAUUUGGAUUAAUGCCCCAUAGUAUAUAACAUUCGCAUGUUUGUUAUAUUAAAGUUCCAACGGUAAAAGAUGAGCAUGCGUCCCAUUAGUUAGUUGGUAAGGUAACGGCUUACCAAGACUAUGAUGGGUAGGGGUCCUGAGAGGGAGAUCCCCCACACUGGUACUGAGACACGGACCAGACUCCUACGGGAGGCAGCAGUGAGGAAUAUUGGACAAUGGGCGCAAGCCUGAUCCAGCCAUGCCGCGUGCAGGAAGAAGCAUCUAUGGUGUGUAAACUGCUUUUGUACAGGAAGAAACACUCCCUCGUGAGGGAGCUUGACGGUACUGUAAGAAUAAGGAUCGGCUAACUCCGUGCCAGCAGCCGCGGUAAUACGGAGGAUCCAAGCGUUAUCCGGAAUCAUUGGGUUUAAAGGGUCCGUAGGCGGUUUGAUAAGUCAGUGGUGAAAGCCCAUCGCUCAACGAUGGAACGGCCAUUGAUACUGUCAGACUUGAAUUACUAGGAAGUAACUAGAAUAUGUAGUGUAGCGGGUGGAAUGCUUAGAUAUUACAUGGAAAUACCAAUUUGCGAAGGCAGGUUACUACUAGUGGAUUGACGCUGAUGGACGAAAGCGUGGGGAGCGAACAGGAUUAGAUACCCUGGUAGUCCACGCCGUAAACGAUGGAUACUAGCUGUUGGGUGCAAACUCAGUGGCUAAGCGAAAGUGAUAAGUAUCCCACCUGGGGAGUACGUUCGCAAGA